This 755-nucleotide non-coding RNA is filed under the name Parnassius smintheus (Rocky Mountain parnassian). Lineage: Eukaryota; Metazoa; Arthropoda; Insecta; Lepidoptera; Papilionidae. The record is from RNAcentral.
UAAAAAAUUUAAUUUAAAUUUAUUUUACAUGUAAAUUUUAGUGUUAAUUUUUAAUUAUUUUAAUAAUAAUUAUUAAUAUUUGCAGUAAUUAGAAUUAAAAAUUUAAGAAAUUAAGAUUUAGUAAUAUUUUAAUUAUUAACAAAUUUUGUGCCAGCAGUUGCGGUUAUACAAAAAAUAAUUUAAAUUUUAUCGGUAUAUAAUAAAUAAUUUUUAUUUAAAUUAAAUAUUAAAUUAUUAAGUGAAAUUUUAAUUUAAUUAAAAUUUAUAUUAAUUUUAUGAUUUAUUAAAUUUUAUAAAAAACUAGGAUUAGAUACCCUAUUAUUAAAAAUUAAAUUUAUAAUACUAAAAUAGUAGGUAAUAAUUUAUUGAAACUUAAAUAAUUUGGCGGUAUUUUAGUUCAUUUAGAGGAAUCUGUUUAAUAAUUGAUAAUCCACGAAUAAAUUUACUUAAUUUAUUAUUUUGUAUAUCGUUGUUAAAAAAAUAUUUUUUAAUAAAAAUAAUAUUUAAAAAUUUUUAUAUAAAAUUAAUUCAGAUCAAGAUGCAGAUUAUAAUUAAGAAUAUAAUGGAUUACAAUAAAUAAAUUUAAAUGAAUAAUAUUUUUUAAUAAAUAUUUGAAGGUGGAUUUAAAUGUAAUUUUAAUUAAUUUAUUAAAAUGAUUAUAUAUUAAAAUAUGUACAUAUUGCCCGUCGCUUUCAUUAAUAAAUUGGAAUAAGUCGUAACAAAGUAGAGGUACUGGAAAGUGUUUCUAGAAAGAA